UACGUAGGGGGCGAGCGUUGUCCGGAUUCACUGGGCGUAAAGGGUCUGUAGGUGGCCAACUAAGUCAGACGUGAAAUCCCUCAGCUUAACUGGGGAACUGCGUCUGAUACUGGAUGGCUUGAGUGUGGGAGAGGAAUGCGGAAUUCCAGGUGUAGCGGUGAAAUGCGUAGAUAUCUGGAGGAACACCGGUGGCGAAGGCGGCAUUCUGGACCAUAACUGACACUGAGAGACGAAAGCCAGGGGAGCAAACGGG
This 253-nucleotide ribosomal RNA is filed under the name uncultured bacterium. RNAcentral describes it as "partial 16S ribosomal RNA". It matches the Rfam family "Bacterial small subunit ribosomal RNA", at positions 524 to 776 of the family's 1533-position model. The record is from RNAcentral.